Oryza meridionalis is the source of this 207-nucleotide non-coding RNA. NCBI's taxonomy places the organism in Eukaryota, Viridiplantae, Streptophyta, Magnoliopsida, Poales, Poaceae. The record is from Rfam.
AAAGAGUGUAGUUUUACAUUGUUCAUAUUCAACGUUUGACCGUCCGUCUUAUUUGAAAAAAAAUGUAAUUAGUAUUUUUGUUGAUAGUAGAUGAUAAAACAUAAAUCGUAUUUUAUGUACGACUAUUUUUUUUAAUUUUUUCGUAUUAUUUUUCAAAUAAGCCGGAUGAUCCAACAUUAAAUACGAAAGCCCACAGUUGCACUUGAA